Molecule: long non-coding RNA, 7004 nt
Organism: Anolis carolinensis (green anole)
Lineage: Eukaryota; Metazoa; Chordata; Lepidosauria; Squamata; Anolidae
Exons: 3
Source: RefSeq, a predicted model, not a curated record
CGAGAGGCGGGCACAAAAAGCGCAAGGAUGCAUCCGCACUGUAUAAUGAAUGCGGUUUGACACCACUUUGACUACCUUGGAAUCCUGAAAACUGGAUCAUAUGGCAGUGUAGAUGGGGCCCUAGAGAGGUGUUCUUUCAGCUGCCAACAUCUUGCCAGGCUGCAUUUGCAUUGGACUGGAUUUAAUCAACUACCUCAAUGGAACCCAUAAGAUCCAGGUGACACAGAGGCCAACCGGAGCCCUGGAGGACCAUCCAACUUUUGUAUUGCUGCUUGGACAAUACUUGACAAUUGCCAUCCUGAUAUUGCCAGCAGCACCUCCUCAGUCUCACUGCCAGAAGCUGCUUUCAAAUUAAAAAGAUGGAGUUUUCAGUCACGGGGAACCAUGCUACUGUCUUUGGAAAGGCCAUCUCCCCAUCAUUAUUCCCAGCCAUUGAACACUUACAUGGACAAUACUUAAUGUUGGAAUUUGCACUGGAGUCUGGUGUUUGGGACACUGGGCUUAAUCAGCAACUGGAUACAUAAGUGACAAUAAAGGUUUUGGGACCCAUCGGGGACAUUGUGUCCACACAUCAGGGAUACUUAAGCCAUCAUCUCAACCAUUGUUUGAAGACCUGCCAGCCCCUCUUUCAUCAUUGGACAGAGGGAAAUUUGCAUCGGAAGCAGGCAGCCAUGCCAGACUCCCACCUCUGCAGGGAGACCUCAUUGACAUCAUCCAGGCUUAGCCAAUCACGGCCAAGCUGGGUCCAGCUGUGGAUGGUGAGAACUUUGAAUCUGACAUGUAUAAAAAAAUGCCUGUUUUGCUGUAUAAUGUAUCUCAGCUUAUUGUGGGUGGAUUACCACAGACUGGCAACUGAAAUUACAUAAAUUCCUCGGUGGCUUCUACUUCAACUUUAUGAGAUUUAUUCUGGAAUAUUGGCUUCUUUUCUCAUCAGGAUUAACCCACAGUGGCUUGGAUCUCACUAUCCACUGCCAUUUUAAAUUGCUUGAUAACAAUGCCCCUGCAUGUGGAGCUAGAGCUGACAGAGGGGGCUCUCCCCAGAUUCGAAUCGGCCACCUUCAGGUCAGCAAUCCAACCUUCAAGUCAGCCAUCCUCCCAGCACAAGGGUUUAACCCAUUGCGCCAUCGGGGGCUCCCCCUUACCCCAGUGAAUAUGGAAGGCUGUUGCAUACAGUCUCCUGUCCAUCUAGUACUUUUUCAGAGAAAUGGACAGGAGACAGUACACAACAUCCUAAAUAAUGUAUAUGGCUGCCCCAUAGGUCUAUGUUAAUUUUGUUAAUUUUUUCAGAUCAAAAUGUGAAUACAACCCUUCCUGUUCCUUUGUCCUUCUUGCUCCUUGAAAUUGGACAAUCCAUCAUAGUGCACUGAGAAUACUAACUAUAACCAGCAAAAUUAGGCUUCAGGGUUGCAGGAUGUACAGUACUGUCUUUGCUUGCUUAUUUCAGCUCUAAGAAACACCAGCUGGAGUCUGUCACAAAAGUAUAUACAGUGAGAGUUAAAGAAUGUUGAGUUCAGGAAUUUACUUUGAGGGCCUUGAUUGGAAUGAACACAGUCCUCCAGCAUUACAGUCUAUUUCAGGUGGCCACAAACUUUUCUUUUGUUUCAGCAGUAAAAACUAGGGUGCAGGAGGACUCACGUUGUGCCUGCUCUUCUUAAAAACCCAAGAGUUAGUGAUCCUUAUGUAUCUGCUGGAAAUGACCCCAAAAUCUACUAAGAAAUACAGAUCUGAACAUCUUUGACCAGCUGCAGGGAAAGCCCCCUCAUUGCAUGAACUCACUCUCCAUGGAGGCCCCCCACUUUCGACCAAGCAGCUUCUUCAGGGCCCAGUGGUGUUUAAGGAAAGACAUAUGGUCAAGGUAUGAGAUUGAUUGGCUUUGAUGGUUCAAAUCCUGCUAGCCUGGAUUUCACAAUGGGUCUGAGCUAAGGAGACAAUGGGUGCAAAACACCUUGAUGGGUUCCCAUCAGGGAGACAAAGGAUGACUCCCUGUUCUUUCAGACUGGCGAAGGAUUAAUUCAGUGUUGAGUGCAAAGGUCUAUUAUUGGUCAGGAAGGAUGGGCAUUGGGUUUACGGUGUUGCAAUGGGUUAGACCAUUGUGCCAGCUGGACUGCUGACCUGAAGGUUGGGUUGCUGACCUGAAGAUUGCUGGUUUGAAUCCGCGAGACGGGGUGAGCUCCCAUCUGUCAGCUCUAGCUUGCGGGGACAUGAGAAAAGCCUCCUGAGAAGAUAGUAACACAUACGGGCUUUCUGCUUUUUCUUGUCCCCUGCUUUAUUUGUGUUACACUGAUUACUUCCUCAGCCAUAACUUUCUUGUCCCACCUUCUGCAGCCACACAAUCUUCUUUUUGCCUCUUUCUCCUCUUUCCUCAGGCUGGAUCUACUUUUCUCUAUACCCCAGGAUCUGAUCCCAGAUUAUAUGCAUUGUACUGAAUUAUGAAUCCUCACUACCAUAUUAUCUGGGAUAAGAAGACAAUUUGGGAUCAAAUCCUGGAAUAUAGAGCAGUGUAGAAGGGGUCUCAGUAUCAUACAACUUCUUCAGAAUCCACACUUUCAUUUGUUUUGCUUGCCUUCUGCUCUUUCUUCCAUGGCUGGAUCUAGUAAAGAUUCCCCUGACAUGAAGUCUAGUCGUGUCCGACUCUGGGGGUUGGUGCUCGUCUCCAUUUCUAAGCCGAAGAAGUUGUCCGUAGACGCCUCCAAGGUCAUGUGGCCAGCAUGUCUGCAUGGAGCGCCGUUACCUUUCCGCUGGAGUGGUACCUAUUGAUCUGCUCACAUUUGCAUGUUUUCGAACUGCUAGUUUGGCAGAAGCUGGGGCUAACAGCGGGAGCUCACCCUGCUCCCUGGAUUUGAACCGCCAACCUUUCGGUCAGCAAGUUCAGCGGAUCUACACUGGCUGGAUCAACACUGCCCUAUAAUCCAGUUUCAAUAUGUGGAUUAAUUUAAUUGAUCUGGAUUAUAGGGCAGUGUAGACCGAUAUCAUCCAGUUCAAUGCAGAUAAUCCACAUUUUGAAACUGGAUUGUAGAGCAGUGUAGAUCAGGCCUAUGUCUCAUUUUCUACCAGCUUUUCAUCUGUCUAUUAGAGCACAUCUACACUGUGGCAUUAAUGCAGUUUGACACCACUUGAACUGCUGUCACUCAAUGUUAUGGAAACGUAACAGUUGUAGUUUUACAAGGUCUUUAGAAUUCUCUGCCAAGGAGUGCAGGUGUCUCACCAAACUACAACUCCCAAGAUUCUCAUAAUGUAAAGACUUAAAAACCUUCUGAGAUAUUUUGACUCCUGAGAAGGAGGUUGCAAUGCAUGAUCAGUCUCUCUUAUCAUACUUACUCAUUAGGAGAAUCAUAACCAGGAUAGUACAACAGGGAUUUAUUUCCAUGCAGCAGAACAAUUUACAGUAGACUCCCAGUUAACCAGAAUUCAAGUGACCUGAAUUCUCAAGCAACUGACAAAAAAUCAAACGAAAUGAUGCUGCAUUCAUUUUUUUCGUGUCAGGAGCAACUUGAGAAACUGCAAGUUGCUUCUGGUGUGAGAGAAUUGGCCGUCAGCAAGGACGUUGCCCAGGGGAUGCCAGGAUGGUUUUUUUUUAUGUUUUUACCAUCCUUAUGGGAGGCUUCUCUCAUGUCCCUGCAUGGAGCUGAUAGAGCGAGCUCAUCCACACUCUACCCUGGUUGGAUUUGAACCGGCAACCUUCAAGUCAGCAACCCAACCUUCAAUUCAUCAGUCCUGCCGGCACAAGGGUUUAACCCACUGCACCACCAGAGACUACUACUGCAUUCAUGAAUCUGUGUUGUUUGUCUUUAUUUGUCUUCACUGUUUUUUUAAUUACUUUCAAUAUAAUAUCAAGUCAAUACAGAAUUUAUGCUAUGGUAUAGUAUGAGGUAUAGUAUUAAACGUAUUUUUAAUAACAACUCUCAAGCAAGCAGAAACUACAUUCAUCCUGCAUCUUUCAACCUCCAUGAGUUCUGGUUAACUGAGUGUCUGUUAUCCUCCUUACUCUUCCUGAUGUUAUGAGCCCUCUGAACACAGAAGGUGGUGGACUCUCCUUCAUCAGAAGUUUUAAAGAAGACAUUAGAUGUCAAUUUUUCAGGAAUCCUUCAGCUGUAGAUUCCUGCACUGGGAAAGGUUGGACUAAGAUGGUACUUACUCUCCCUUCCCAUUUUAUGGCUCUACCCUAAAUUGUAUGGGCUGGUGAAAGGGAAUUUACCCUAAGUCAGUGGUUCUCAACCUGGGGUCCACGGAUGUUUUUGGCCUACAACUCCCAGAAAUCCCAGCCAGUUUACCAGUUGUUAGGAUCUCUGGGAGUUGAAGACCAAAAACAUUUUGAGAACCACUGCCUUAAGUUCUUUUAAAUAGCUAUGUACCUACCAAGCCAACAGGACAAUGAAAAGAAACAUGACAACUUUUUAUGAAAUAAUGACAUUUUGUGUGCGCGCACUGAACUGGAAUGGUUUUGGCCCCCAAAAAGCAUUAAAUGUAAUAGCAUCAUAUUUAUUUAUUAGAAAUAUUUAUAAAUGACUCUUGUGCCCACUGAGGCUUCCACAGCAAUGUACAAUGUAAAAACACAAUAUAAAAAUGAUAGCAAUGACAGUUAAAAAAAAGUAAAGAACAUUUUCAAAGUUGGUGGCCUAACCCAAUCACAAGCUUUCUGACAACCUUCAGAAGCCUAACAAGAACAUAGCCAGCCUGACUUCCCAUAGGGAUGGCUGGGAGGGUGGUGCACAAUGGAGUGCUGCCCUAGGAAAAGUCUUUUCUUGUUUAUUUGUCAAUAUGGGUGCUGGGACAUGCAAGAAGUUCUGGUUUGAAAAGAAUGUGGGCAGACUCACAUGGGAAAAUACAGCCCUUAAGGUAUCCUGGUCUCAAGCUAUUUACCAGUUCAGAAGCAACUCUUUAAACUGAUCUUGAAAACAAGGCAGCACAGCCAGUUUGGACUAGUGAUGGAUGCUCACAGCACACAAGACACAGCAGUGUGCUUACUGCAUGUUGCACUGGCUGUCUCUUCCAAACUCUUAAAGGUCAGCCCCACUGAGAGCACAGGACAGUACUGUAAUAGAAAGGACUGUUGUGGCCAAAUCCACCUUCUUGAGGAAGAAGCAUAGCUGAGCCAAUGCGCACCAAGCCACAACAUGCAUAUGGCUCUCUAGGAAUAGAUCGGAGUCCAAGACAUUCCCAAACUGUAAACCCGGUCCUUCAGAGAGAGAAUGUAAUCACAUUCAGACUAAGACUCCUUCCACACUGCCCUAUUAUCCCUGGAUCUGAUCCCAGAUUAUCUGCUUAUCCCAGAUUAUUUGGCAGUGGAGACUCAUAUAAUCCAGUUUAAACCAGAUAAUCUGGGAACAGAUCCUGGGAUAUAGGGCAGUGUAGAAUGGGUCUAAAUUACAACCCCAAUUCCUGGUUGACUUUUCUGUCUUCUCUGGUUCAAAGUCUUAUUUGUUUAUCAUAUUUGUCAGCGCAUCUUCCACAGCAUCCCUAGCAUUCUAGCGUGGGAAAGGUUCAGUCAGCGAUUAUCAGCUCAGUGGUGCUCUCUCCUUCAUUUAAAUCUGGGAUUAGCUACUAACUACAGCAGCCAAAAAAAAUUAAAAUAAAAUUGGAAGUAGCAAGAAAUCCACUUCUGAUUUUGAAAAUACGUUAUGGGUAUGGGGCAGGGUGGAGGAUGCUGAAUAGUGUAGGGAAUGGAGUCUCCACCCCCGACAAGCUUCCUUUGGUGGUAUCAGAAAAGAGUGGUGUUGAAGGGCUGAAGGGCCGAAAACCAAUCUUAAGGAUUACAAGUGGCCCUCAGGCUGCAUGUUGUCAGCUCUGAUGUCAAAGUAAGAAACCAGGUCAAUUCUGAUACAAUUUGCCAGUGUAAGCAAAGUGCAUCUAGAGGCCACAUGCGACCCCCAAAAGGCAAAACAGUUCCAGUUCCCCAGUUCCAGCUUCUGGUAUUAUCUGCCCAUUGCAGAGCUGGAAGCACAGCUCCAAUUCUCAUUUUAGCUAAACAUCCCAGAAAAAUAUGACUGAUGUUACUGAAUAUCAUGGAGAAGUCCAGCAAACCAACAGGGAUAUACCUCCUUAUUCAGCUGCUGGAGUAGGUCACCUAACAAGGCAACAAAACCUGUUUAUGUCCUGAAACCAUACCUGAAUGCACAUUAGAAUGAGCCAAACACAAGGACAUAAUUUUAUAUUUACACUAGGGACAAUUAAACUGUGUCUGGACUUACAGAAACAAGUUGUGUUGUGUUGGCUGGGGUUCACUCUGGCAGGGUUUCAGGCCCUUGGGUGAGUGCAAUGGACUGAAAUAACCUCUCAACCACUCUUUUAUAGCAUUGUUAUUAAGGACUAGGCCUGAAUGAAGGAGGACUGUAGUUGCCCAUGUGAUUCCGUGGAGACAGAAGUGAAGUUUGAGAUAUGCUGCUGAAGGUCUCUAUGGACUUCAUCCCGUGGCUUUCAGGCUCUAUUUCCAUGCUCUGUGGAAGAAGCCCCAUGGAGGCCAUCACAUGACAUAAGGUCACUUCCUGUGGGACUCCAUGGAGCUCCGUUUCCAUAGAGCAUGGAAACAGAGCCUAGAAGUCAUCUUCAGGAGAUGAGUGUUACCCAACUCCAAAUGGCAGAUAGAUGGAGAAAGAUCAACACAGUAAGGAUGUGGGAUGGCUGGCCAUCCCACAAAACAAGAAAAGAUGGGAGGAAAUGAAGUAAGACUGCUCCCACCACUUUCCCCUGCUUUCCCUCCACUUAUGGGAUGAGGUCCUAAGACCUUUCUUCCGAGGAAAGGGGAUAAUGUUUCACCGAGGAAAUUAUUUUGCGAGCAGUUGGUUUACCACCCUCAAUUCGGAUUUGGGAGAAGACACCACAACUCUAGAAGGCUCUGUGUUCUGAUCCAUCAGUCCAGAGGGAACCUAAAAGUGCAACAAGAAAUCAAUGUAAGUUGGCAGGAUUUACAAAUCACAAAGCGAAAUCAGAUCGAAAUGAGAUCCAGUGUUUUCAAAGAAUGCCAUCAGAACAGAACCAGGACUUCCUUUAAUAAAAGUUAGAUCAUA